Molecule: RNA transcript, 2093 nt
Organism: Triticum aestivum (bread wheat)
Lineage: Eukaryota; Viridiplantae; Streptophyta; Magnoliopsida; Poales; Poaceae
Exons: 8
Source: RefSeq, a predicted model, not a curated record
GCAACCUAUUUUUCCCAUCCAGCCGCCGCCACGACGGCCAUUCUUGCCCAGUCCCACGGCCAGCCAUCGGCGCCGCUCCUACUCUGCCCGGCCUAUCCCUCGGCCAACCGCCGUCACGCUGGUCGCUCCCUCACCAGGUCAGCCACUGCCACACCCGAUGCUCUCUGGGCCAGCCACCGCGACCGAUGCUCCUCAGCCUGCCGCCGUCGCUGCAAACGACGCUCCUCUGCAUGCUGCCGCCACCACGACCGAUGAUCUCCCGUGAAUUAAUUCUCUUCCCGCUACCGCUCUGUAGCCACCACUAGCCUUCCGCCUCCACGACGUCUGCCAUCCCAGCCACGAAUGCACAUGAAACGACAUGCCACACCACAUAAUUCAUCACCUAUUCAUUACCUCACUUUCCGUUACCCUGCAAAUGCGUAAUAAAAUGGGUUUAAAUACCCUAUGUGGUACCAUCGUCAUCCAUGACACACGCCUUCUCGCGUCCCAUCUGGGAAGAGGCCUCCGGCCAGGUUGCGCUUCAGGACAAAGGUGCUCGACUCCACGUUAUGCUUCAAACAUCUCUUACUUGCUGGGAAUUGUUUCAUUACUUCACAUGCCCCUUUGCAUUUUUUCCCCCUGAUUUGUGCUUUACUCUCACUUUGUCAUGUGCAACAAUGGUAAAAUGUUAAUAUGAAAAAUCAGGCUUUCAAAUUCCAUGGUACUUGCUAUAGUUCUUUUAGAUACAGAUCGAUUGCUCAUCCAAAUAAACUAUGUUGAUUAUGGAAAAUUAGGCUUUCAAAUUUAAUGGUACUUGCUAUAGUUCUUCUAGAUACAGAUCGAUUGUUCAUCCAAAUAAACUCUCUUGGUUCCUCAUAUUAUUAUACCCGAAACACUCCCUCUAGGUACUAGAUGAACUGAUCGAAAAGAGGCAAGGGGUAAGGUUAUCGAUUCAUUUUUUGGACAGUUCAGUUAGUUAAAUGAUUAUGUGGGCAUAUGAGUAUAUUUGUUACCAAUGCAACAUAUAUCUUUGAAAAAAUUAAGAUAGACCAUGGUGUUCAUGUCGAUUCUAUCAGCAUUUGUGUUAUCCUCCUUCUGCACUAUCCCAGAUUGCACUCCCGGAUCGCACGUGACGGACAUUUUGCUUCAUAGAUCUCUUGCUUCUUGCAUCGAUCAAAAAUGGAGUCUAAUGCUGGAUCAUCCUCUUCCCCAAGUGAAACGUUCAGUGAAAUAGAUAAUCAUAUGGAAUGUCUCUAUAUUACACCAAACGAGGCUGUUUGGCGCUUGCCUGAGUAUCACAUUCACCCUACAUACCUGUCCACAAAAAGACUCCCUGUUAUACUUAAUGGAAUGAAGAAUGAUUCAGUAUCCCAGUUCCCCAUAGGUCAUGUCAAAAAGAAAAGCUUCUCAAUCAACAACGCACACGUGCUUCGCUCUACAAAGCCAUCUCCAAUCAAAGAAUUGAUGACCCAUCCAUCUUCAACAAUAAAUAUUGAGAGUAUGAUGAUCCAAACACCAGAGGACUCAAACAAUACUACACAUCCCUCUUGCCCAGGCGCAACUAUCAACACUCAGAAAAAACAAGACAAGCACUCUUUAGCUAAAAGGAUCGCUGAAUUUACAGAAGAUGAAACCACCAACAAAGAGAGGUAUGAAUAGAGAACAAUAUUCCUAUUUACCAUGUAAUUUCUCAACGGUGCAAUAUUUACAUGUCACAGUCAAAAGGAGGUUGAUCUUGAGGCUGCAGAACUUCAUCUUCAAGUUGUCAAAAAGCAUAAGCAACACAAUGCAGGAAACAACAUGACAAUGAAUAGCUAAGAAAGGCCAAGAGGAUAACACCGAUAAAAAAACAUAGGUACUGUCAGUUUCAUGUCCAAAGAAAAUUGUCCGAAAGUUAGGAUAUUGUCAAGCACUCACUCAAGCAGCAACAAACUACACUGCCUUCUAUUUGAAUUACUUACAUUGUGGCUUUAAUUGUAAUCUCUAUCAUUAGUAGUACUUUUGGGUGAUCCGAUGCAUGUACUGAGUUAUGGAUAAUGCUUAUGCAACUAUAUACGGGCCGGAUUACAUUGCCUUUUAUUUAUAUAUAUUUAUAUUGUGGCUCACUUUUUCAA